UACGUAGGGUGCGAGCGUUGUCCGGAAUUAUUGGGCGUAAAGAGCUUGUAGGCGGUUUGUCGCGUCUGCUGUGAAAAUCCGGGGCUCAACCCCGGACCUGCAGUGGGUACGGGCAGGCUAGAGUGUGGUAGGGGAGACUGGAAUUCCUGGUGUAGCGGUGAAAUGCGCAGAUAUCAGGAGGAACACCGAUGGCGAAGGCAGGUCUCUGGGCCACUACUGACGCUGAGAUGCGAAAGCGUGGGGAGCGAACGGG
RNAcentral lists this ribosomal RNA (253 nucleotides) under uncultured bacterium. RNAcentral's name for it is "partial 16S ribosomal RNA". It matches the Rfam family "Bacterial small subunit ribosomal RNA", at positions 524 to 776 of the family's 1533-position model. The record is from RNAcentral.